Molecule: unclassified non-coding RNA, 253 nt
Filed under: uncultured Cryomorphaceae bacterium
Lineage: Bacteria; Pseudomonadati; Bacteroidota; Flavobacteriia; Flavobacteriales; Cryomorphaceae
Description: contains 16S-23S intergenic spacer region
Rfam family: Bacterial small subunit ribosomal RNA
Source: RNAcentral
UACGGAGAAUCCAAGCGUUAUCCGGAUUUAUUGGGUUUAAAGGGUCCGUAGGCGGGAUAUUAAGUCAGUGGUGAAAGCCUGCAGCUUAACUGUAGCACUGCCAUUGAUACUGGUAUUCUUGAGUAUAGUUGAAGUGGGCGGAAUAUGUCAUGUAGCGGUGAAAUGCAUAGAUAUGACAUAGAACACCUAUUGCGAAGGCAGCUCACUAAGCUAUUACUGACGCUCAGGGACGAAAGCGUGGGUAGCAAACAGG